CCAGAGAUGGAUUGGUGCCUUCGGGAACUGUGAGACAGGUGCUGCAUGGCUGUCGUCAGCUCGUGUUGUGAAAUGUUGGGUUAAGUCCCGCAACGAGCGCAACCCUUAUCCUUUGUUGCCAGCGGUUCGGCCGGGAACUCAAAGGAGACUGCCAGUGAUAAACUGGAGGAAGGUGGGGAUGACGUCAAGUCAUCAUGGCCCUUACGACCAGGGCUACACACGUGCUACAAUGGCAUAUACAAAGAGAAGCGACCUCGCGAGAGCAAGCGGACCUCAUAAAGUAUGUCGUAGUCCGGAUUGGAGUCUGCAACUCGACUCCAUGAAGUCGGAAUCGCUAGUAAUCGUAGAUCAGAAUGCUACGGUGAAUACGUUCCCGGGCCUUGUACACACCGCCCGUCACACCAUGGGAGUGGGUUGCAAAAGAAGUAGGUAGCUUAACCUUCGGGAGGGCGCUUACCACUUUGUGAUUCAUGACUGGGGUGAAGUCGUAACAAGGUAACCGUAGGGGAACCUGCGGUUGGAUCACCUCCUUA
Molecule: ribosomal RNA, 533 nt
Filed under: Klebsiella pneumoniae
Lineage: Bacteria; Pseudomonadati; Pseudomonadota; Gammaproteobacteria; Enterobacterales; Enterobacteriaceae
Also listed under: 1 other name
Description: bacterial SSU rRNA
Rfam family: Bacterial small subunit ribosomal RNA
Source: RNAcentral